Molecule: small nuclear RNA, 104 nt
Organism: Suncus etruscus (white-toothed pygmy shrew)
Lineage: Eukaryota; Metazoa; Chordata; Mammalia; Eulipotyphla; Soricidae
Source: RefSeq, a predicted model, not a curated record
UUGUUUCAGCAGCACAUAUACUAAAAUUGUAAUGAUACAGAGAAAAUUAGCAUGGCCCCUGCACAAGGAAAGACACACAAAUUCAUGAAAUGUUCCAUAUUUCU